RNAcentral lists this ribosomal RNA (732 nucleotides) under uncultured bacterium. Its description in RNAcentral is "bacterial SSU rRNA". It matches the Rfam family "Bacterial small subunit ribosomal RNA", at positions 83 to 805 of the family's 1533-position model. The record is from RNAcentral.
UGGCCGAGUAGAGCGGCAAACGGGUGAGUAACACGUAGCUGACCUGCCUCCGCGACGGGGAUAACCACUCGAAAGGGUGGCUAAUACCCGAUAUGCUCACGGGGCUUCGGCCCUGCGAGGAAAGCUCCCGCAAGGGAGCGCGCGGAGAGGGGGCUGCGGCCUAUCAGCUUGUUGGUGGGGUAACGGCCCACCAAGGCGAUGACGGGUAGGGGGCGUGAGAGCGUGGCCCCCCACAUGGGGACUGAGACACGGCCCUGACUCCUACGGGAGGCAGCAGUGGGGAAUCUUCGGCAAUGGGCGCAAGCCUGACCGAGCGACGCCGCGUGGAGGACGAAGGCCUUCGGGUUGUAAACUCCUUUUCAGGGGGAAGAAUAAGCCCGGGAGGCAAUGCCCGGGCGAUGACGGUACCCCUGGAAUAAGCCACGGCUAACUCUGUGCCAGCAGCCGCGGUAAGACAGAGGCGGCGAGCGUUACCCGGAUUCACUGGGCGUAAAGGGUGCGUAGGCGGUCGCGCAUGUCGUCGGUAAAAUCUCCCUGCUCAACGGGGGAGAGGUCCGACGAAACUGCGCGGCUGGAGGGCCGGAGAGGGAGGCGGAACUUCCAGAGUAGCGGUGAAAUGCGUAGAUACUGGAAGGUACCUCAAUAGCGAACGCAGCCUCCUGGCCGGUCCUGACGCUGAGCACGAAAGCGUGGGGAGCAAACGGAUAGAUACCCGGGUAGUCCACGCCCUAA